This 406-nucleotide ribosomal RNA is filed under the name uncultured bacterium. Its description in RNAcentral is "partial 16S ribosomal RNA". It matches the Rfam family "Bacterial small subunit ribosomal RNA", at positions 30 to 526 of the family's 1533-position model. The record is from RNAcentral.
AUUGAACGCUGGCGGCAGGCCUAACACAUGCAAGUCGAACGCGUGGCGGACGGGUGAGAAAUGUCUGGGACAGUGCCCGAUGGAGGGGGAUAACUUGUGGAAACGGUAGCUAAUCCCGCAUACCAUCGGAUGUGCCCAGGUGGGAUUAGCUUGGAGGUGGGGUAACGGCUCACCUAGGCGACGAUCCCUAGCUGGUCUGAGAGGAUGACCAGCCACACUGGAACUGAGACACGGUCCAGACUCCUACGGGAGGCAGCAGUGGGGAAUAUUGCACAAUGGGCGCAAGCCUGAUACAGCCAUGCCGCGUGUGUGAAGAAGGCCUUCGGGUUGUAAAGUACUUUCAGCGGGGAGGCGUUACUCGCAGAAGAAGCACCGGCUAACUCCGUGCCAGCCGCCGCGGUAAUUC